AUGUGCCGUCGCUGAGGCACUUGCAUCUCCGGAACAUUGACAACACGGAUUUCUGUCCGGUAUGCCUGAAUCCCGACUACCAGAGCAAGGUCUUCGAGCUUUGUCCUGACCUGGUGGCACUAGACAGCAAGCGCAGGCACUUGCCGGACCUGGAAGCAGAGACG
This 164-nucleotide non-coding RNA is filed under the name Symbiodinium sp. clade A. Lineage: Eukaryota; Dinophyceae; Suessiales; Symbiodiniaceae. The record is from RNAcentral.